UUGGAGGGCAAGUCUGGUGCCAGCAGCCGCGGUAAUUCCAGCUCCAAUAGCGUAUAUUAAAGUUGUUGCAGUUAAAAAGCUCGUAGUUGAAUUUCGGGAUCAAUGUUUCGGUCAUGCCGUUGGUAUGUACUGAUAUUAUUGGUUUCUCACCUUCUAAAGAACCGUAAUGCCAUUAAUUUGGUGUCACGGGGAAUUAGGACUGUUACCUUGAAAAAAUUAGAGUGUUUAAAGCAGGCUCACGUUUGAAUACAUUAGCAUGGAAUAAUGAAAUAGGACAUCCGAUUCUAUUUUGUUGGUUUCUAGGAUCGAUGUAAUGAUUAAUAGGGAUAGUUGGGGGCAUUAGUAUUCAAUUGUCAGAGGUGAAGUUCUUGGAUUUAUUGAAGACUAACUACUGCGAAAGCAUUUGCCAAGGAUGUUUUCAUUAAUCAAGAACGAAAGUUAGGGGAUCGAAGACGAUCAGAUACCGUCGUAGUCUUAACCAUAAACUAUGCCGACUAGGGAUCGGAUGAUGUUAAUUUUUUAAUGACUCAUUCGGCACCUUACGGGAAACCAAAG
RNAcentral lists this ribosomal RNA (555 nucleotides) under uncultured Glomus. RNAcentral describes it as "SSU rRNA". It matches the Rfam family "Eukaryotic small subunit ribosomal RNA", at positions 548 to 1103 of the family's 1831-position model. Lineage: Eukaryota; Fungi; Glomeromycota; Glomeromycetes; Glomerales; Glomeraceae. The record is from RNAcentral.